GGGUAAUUAGCUCAGCGGUACGAGCUUCUGCCUUACAAGCAGAAUGUCACUGGUUCGAUUCCAGUAUUGCCCA
Molecule: transfer RNA, 73 nt
Filed under: Poteriospumella lacustris
Lineage: Eukaryota; Chrysophyceae; Chromulinales; Dinobryaceae
Description: tRNA-Val
Rfam family: tRNA
About the family: Transfer RNA (tRNA) molecules are approximately 80 nucleotides in length. Their secondary structure includes four short double-helical elements and three loops (D, anti-codon, and T loops).
Source: RNAcentral